Long non-coding RNA from Chenopodium quinoa (quinoa), 709 nucleotides. RefSeq lists it as uncharacterized. NCBI's taxonomy places the organism in Eukaryota, Viridiplantae, Streptophyta, Magnoliopsida, Caryophyllales, Amaranthaceae. The transcript has 2 exons. The record is from RefSeq and is a predicted model, not a curated record.
UCGGCUUACUUUUUCUCAAAAAAGGUGAAUAAAUUAUCUUUUGUUAUUACAGAGGUACUUAUUAAUGCUAAUAAAAGAGAGAAAAUAACACUACAAGUACUUUAUACGGAGUAGUUGGUUAAUUAGUACUCAUAGCAAAAUUUUAAAUCAAAAUUAGAAAAUCCAUUAUGGUAAUUGUUGUUGGUCAUAUACGACACAAUAAGAUUUAUGACGAUAUUGUAACUUUUUUUUUCCUAACUGCUCCAUUUCAUUUUCUGUUCCUGUCAUAUUCAUCUUCUCCCAAAAGAAAAAAAAUUUGAGUAAAUUUUUGUUUUUUUUUUUUUGACGGAGAAUAAAAAAUAAUCUUGAGAACAUAGAUUAAAAAAACACAAGUAGAAUACUGUAAAAAAAAUCUGUCAAAAAAAAAAAAAGAAAGCACUGUUUUUAUCUUUCUUCCCAACCGUUACUUCUUCACACCAAAGCCGACCCCAUCGGCAACGCCCUUUUCCGAUCACUCAAUUCUCAACUUCUCUGUUUUUCAUGUCGGAUGAGGAUACGCAACACUUUCUAAGCAUGCUUGAUGCUGCUGCUGAACGAGCUUUUGAAGCAUAUGCAGAUGUGUGUUGUCUUUCCUUUGGCUUUCAGUGUUUAAUUCAUUGAAAUUAUUUGCUGAACUUGUAAAACCAUCAGUUUGUUUAUUCUAAUUUGGCAAGGUAGUUUAUGAUGUUCA